Molecule: long non-coding RNA, 400 nt
Filed under: Rosa chinensis
Lineage: Eukaryota; Viridiplantae; Streptophyta; Magnoliopsida; Rosales; Rosaceae
Description: sRNA RchiOBHm_Chr6g0254971
Source: RNAcentral
GCCGCCCUCGGCGGCAUCGUCAUCCUCCACUCCAACGCCGCCUCCUCCGACCAGGCCGCCAUGGUCAGAUCCGUCAAGGCCCGCCGCGUCCCUCUCCUCUCCGCCCCCGUCUUCAUGUCCCGCGGAGACCGCAUCCACAACAACGACGUUUUCGACCACGGCGCCAAUCCCUACGUCCUCGUCACCGAGUCCGGCGGCCCCAGCUCCAAGCUUUUGGGCUACAUGGCGAGCCGCGAUUGGGUGAAGCUGGCGAACAAGGAGGUCAAGAUUUACGAUUACAUGGUUAGCUGUAAGGACAUGGUUUUGCCUUGGAGCUCCGAUUUGGGGAAGAUUGAGGAGUUCAUGGCGGAUAAAGGCCGGGACGUGGCGGCGACGGUGAGGGACGACGAGGUUGUCGACG